Molecule: long non-coding RNA, 679 nt
Filed under: Helianthus annuus (common sunflower)
Lineage: Eukaryota; Viridiplantae; Streptophyta; Magnoliopsida; Asterales; Asteraceae
Source: RNAcentral
UAACUAGAUAUCACAGUGAUAAACCAUAACCAAACCUAUAUGAUUUACAUAAUGAAAAUAAAAGUGUUGUUAGAGAUGUGAAACCCCAAAAAGCAAAAGCAAAAGCAACUGCAAUAUACAACUCUUUUGAUACUCAAGAACCUCUGAAACACCUUCCAACAAUCCCUGUUUUUUUCUUUACCCUAAAAGAUUAGGGUUUCAAUCCCAUCACAAUUCACAAUCUGAAACAACUCAUCUAAAACUUCUAUUGGCCCUCUGAACCAUGAGAAUCAUCAUCCUUUGAAGCCAGUUGUUGCUGCUGAUGCAUUCUAGCUUGACCCAUUUGAUAAAUUUGAUUCAAUGCUUGUUGAUUCAAAACCCCCAUACUACCAUCUUGCGAAAGCCCGAGUUCCAAACCCGGAAGCUGCUGUUGAUGAUGAUGAUCCUGAUUAUUAUGAUUACCCAAAAUUGAAGAGAAACUCAUAGGAACUAAAUUUGACCCGGUUUCUUGUUUUUCUGCGGCGACUAUUUGUAAAUCUGUGGUGGUGUCUGAGGGCUUGGUGGUAUCGGUCAUGGUGAGUGGUGGUGGUGGUGGGUUGAAAAUGGAAAGUGAUGUGGUGUGGUGUGGUGGCUGAGGAUGAUGAAUUGAUGAUGCUCUCAGCUCUUGGGAUUAUCAAAUAGACAAAUACUGUGUUGUGUG